This is a long non-coding RNA of Coccinella septempunctata (seven-spotted ladybird), 1133 nucleotides long. RefSeq lists it as uncharacterized. The transcript is spliced from 2 exons. NCBI's taxonomy places the organism in Eukaryota, Metazoa, Arthropoda, Insecta, Coleoptera, Coccinellidae. The record is from RefSeq and is a predicted model, not a curated record.
UCUUCGAAAUUGCAAGCUGACCAAAUAUUCAAUUUUCUCUUUAAAUGGCAGGAAGUGAUUGUGAUAUUCAGUACCUUCAUAUAUUCGUAUUUUUGCACAAUAAGCGAAUAAAAUAAUGCCAUUUGAAUCACCCACUGUACGAAAACAAAAACGAAUGAAAAAUCACAUCGCACACUCGGAGUUCCCGGUAGUGAUCUCGAAAAAGCCGGUACCAAAAUAGCCAGUUACGUGGGCAUCAUCUUCGGCGGAGUACCUCACCCCCUGCCCCACUAGCUGUAGGGACGGACCAAUAGGCAAUAUCCGUAGGUGCAAGGGCCCAUCAGCGUCAACGUGAGUGGGUCAGGGCCCAUACAGAGCGUCCCGACGAUGUCAUCCCCACCCCCACAGCUUCUGCCUUCGCAUUCGCAUUUAAACCUGGAGCGGCUAACGAGAAAUCAUUCCACAUCCAUCGCUCGUGAUACGCGCUACAGUAUUACAAGUGUUCCUCAUUUCCUAGUUCCAUUCAUUCAUUCAUUCAAGUUCACCGAGCACGAUUUCAAAAUGUCUGGCUUAGACCCUACCGAAACCUACUAAGCAGUUGUUGACUCGUGUCAAUACACGUCGUCGAAAGUUUUAAAAAAUCGUCGUCACUUGCAUCAAACGAAACACUUCGCCAUGGACGGAGGAAAAUUGGAUCCCACAAACCAGUACUAACCGGCGACCUUCUGGGUGUCCACGUGCGUGUUCACUGUUUGUUUACAUUGACUCUGAGCUGAUAUGGCACCCUGCCUACCACACGCAGACCCAACCGGCCUCUACUAAUGUGGCACUUCAACCAGGGGGAUGGCGGACGCCCUGAGACCUCCAGCUGUCGAAGGAAAAGAUUUGGUUGAAACAAAGUUCCACUUCCAACUGAUCACUGCCACAUCCAGUUACCACCGUCGUUCAUCUGGUUAUAUACACAAGACUGAAGCUUGUUGAUUUUAAAUGAUGUAUUUUGUUAUUUUAAAUUAUAUUUGUAGGUUAAGUUUCUCCGCUAGAUCAACAUUCAGCAAUAAUGUUCAUCUUUCUAAUGUAUAUACUUCCCAAUGUAUAAUGUCCAGGUAAAGUUUUCUUACUUAUCCUAAGUAUUAAAUGAUUUUUAUUACAUUUUA